UUUGUUCUCCUUUUCUUCCGUUUCUCACCCGACCCAAGCCACGUCGCCCUUUCUUCUUCCCCAUCUCGCCGAUUCCCUUUCUCCCCUUCGCUUCCUCUGCGCCACCCUCCGAAGCCCGCUACGGCGUCGGCAGAUCGCCGACCUCGCGCACUCCACACUGGUAGAGCCUCCCUCUCUCAGCCGAUGUCGCGCCACACGCCACCGUCCAGCGCUGGUUCUUCCUUCUCCUUCCCUUUUCUCUUCGAGAUGUUGCCGACCACCGCCCAGAGGACGAUCGCCUCUCACUGAUGUUGAUUCUUGAGAGCCUUCGAGUGCCGGAUUCCCGAGUGCUGCCUCUCGGAGCAGCGCCGUCGUCGAUCUCCACUGUCGGCCCCUUCUUCCUUCAACCGAUUGUGUCCGUGCCCUACUCAGCCGAAGGUCAAUCACCUCUCCUUGACGACGGUUAUUGAGAGCUUUCGAAUGCCACACGAGUGUCGUUUCUUGGAGCAACACCGUCGUCUCCCUCUCGAGGGUGUUCUUCGUCUUCGAGCCGAGCCCUAGCUGCUUCUCGUGGAGGCUGAUUUUCCCCUCCUCAUCACCAGAUUUGGAUCAAGGAGGUUCAGCAACACCUUCUCACCGGAUCUUGGAGUAUUCAAGAUCAUCCUCCGGCCGUCCAUCUGGUUCCAGCACCAGUACGGGAUCCUACUUCUGAUCAGAUGUGAAGUUUCUAGCAAGAUUCGUAGAUUUGAUGAUCGAUUGAUUGGAUGUUGAGGUUGAAGGGGGCAGCAGCUCCGGCCAUCAUUUUCCAGCAAUGAGUUUCUCCGGUUGCGGGUUAAUAAUGGAGUGCUCAAUUUCGGACUUGGGUUCGAGGCGAGCGUCUCAAUGUGGGGGUUGUAUUUGGCACGAUCUACAUUUAAGGCGGGU
Long non-coding RNA from Zingiber officinale, 903 nucleotides. RefSeq lists it as uncharacterized. The transcript has 3 exons. Lineage: Eukaryota; Viridiplantae; Streptophyta; Magnoliopsida; Zingiberales; Zingiberaceae. The record is from RefSeq and is a predicted model, not a curated record.